Triticum dicoccoides is the source of this 1728-nucleotide long non-coding RNA. RefSeq lists it as uncharacterized. The record is from RefSeq and is a predicted model, not a curated record. Lineage: Eukaryota; Viridiplantae; Streptophyta; Magnoliopsida; Poales; Poaceae. The transcript is spliced from 3 exons.
CUCUCGACGUGAACCCAUUUCCCAUUCUCGUUCUCCUCUCAUUCAUUUUCCUCUUUUCCUCCCCUGAUCUAGGGAUUCAGCCACAGUUCGUUGCUAGAUCCAUCAAGUGAGAAGGACGUGGUGAGUAGGAUUUGCGGCAGAGUGUCGUGGUUCCAGUCUCUCGGCGGCGGCCGGUCUUCCAGCUUGACCACACGUGCCUGCUUCUCGCCGCCGCCGUCGACUGGAUGGCCGUGAAGUUUGCCCCCCUUGAACCUGAGCGGUGGCUCUCCUCCAGCUGGUGGAGAUUUUUUCUGGUGUAGAUAAGGAGAUGUUUAUGUUCUCCUCACCUUUCUCUACCUUUUUUUAUCUUUGCAUGGUUUCUUCUUACUCAUAAUUUUCAUGCUCGCCAAAGGGAGAGGGUGUUCUAUGGUGAGGUACUAAUCAGAAGCCGGGAAGGACAAAUGCAGAGAGGUGACCGAUAUGCGCAUGGAGUUUUUUUAGGAUCAAGCGAGCGAAGACUGCCUCAAUUUAUGUAAAAGAGUUCUGAUGUGGUGGUAGUUCUGUCCAUGCAAACGGAAAGCAGAAAGUUCUUUGUGAAUUUUUAUUUCCUUGUCCACAACUCCUCCCAUCGAUGUGAAUGAAAACAACAAGUUGUAUGACCUUAUAAUUCUGCCCUUCAUUUCUUAAGAGGUUUCCGAGGUAUGGUGGAGGCUCUCUUAGUGGUGGCAGAUUGAUUUUUCCCUGUUUGCAACAUAUUCCAAAGAGGGUUUCGUAGUUCCUUUGUUGAAUUUAAUAUUUCUUCACACCAUAGCAAUGAUUUGCAAUAUUAGCAUUUGUAUGUUGGCCUUUCAAACUUCCAUGUCUUUCUAUUAGCACUUGUUGAGGUUGUGGUUCUAUUGUUGUCUCCAACAUUGAUUCUAAUGUUAAUUUUGUUGCUUUCUCUUCCUGUAUGCUUCAAUUCCUUAUCUUCUUUAGCAUUAUCCUUUCUGAAUUUUUUAGGAGCCCAUGUGUUCGUAUUUCUUCUUCCCUCUGCAGUCCUUGUCCGCUUUGUGAUCCUUGAGUUUAGAGCUUGAUAUUUCUUUAUUUUUGUAUGGUGAGCUGCUAGCGCUUACGUAUGUUGGACUGUCAUCUCUGGAAAUUUGAUUUCGUCAGUGACAUGUAGAGUUUUCUUAAUAGUGUGCCACUUCACACAUGUAAGUGCAUUUGGAGAUAUAGAGACUAAUAAUGGAGGUGUCAUGUACAGUACAUCUGGAGAUCAAUAUUGUUUAUCUGGUAUGGCACUGUAAAUCAAUAAGUGUUCAAUUGUGUACCUCCUUUUGUAGCUUUCACACUCCUGUCAUGGUAGUGUGUGGAUGCCUGAAAAAAAACAUGGUUUACAGUUCAGUCUCAGUAGGGUUUUGACAUAGAAGAUUAGAAGCAAGGUUGAGCUGAGAUCAAAUGCUGACAUACCUGAAGAAUUGCAUGUGGAUAUUACCUGAGGUUGAUGGUGUUGAUGUCGUGUCUUCAGUUUGUUGGACGCUUCUUUGUGCCUUCGAUCGUUUGGGCGUCGCAGGCGUAUAUUGGAUGCAAGUUGCUGGAGUUGUUUCCAUGCCUUCGAUUUUUCGGCGGUCUUGUGUGUUCGAUCGUCCUAAAGUCUUGAUAAGAGAGCUAUUAAGAAAGUGCAUCAUGGGUUAGACCCAAGAGUUGAAUGUCGUCUUGUAAAAUUAUUGUUGAAUGAUGAUUAUGUGAUAUAAGCAAAAGGGAUGAGCG